RNAcentral lists this ribosomal RNA (540 nucleotides) under Microchloropsis gaditana. RNAcentral's name for it is "SSU rRNA". It matches the Rfam family "Eukaryotic small subunit ribosomal RNA", at positions 609 to 1150 of the family's 1831-position model. RNAcentral also lists the same sequence under 1 other name. Lineage: Eukaryota; Eustigmatophyceae; Eustigmatales; Monodopsidaceae. The record is from RNAcentral.
GUUGUUGCAGUUAAAAAGCUCGUAGUUGGAUUUCUGGCGGGGACGGCUGGUCGGUCUCGAAAGGGGCUGUACUGUUGUUGGUUCCCGUCAUCCUUGGGGAGAGCGGCUCUUACAUUAAGUUGUCGGCGUCGGGAUCCCUAUCUUUUACUGUGAAAAAAUUAGAGUGUUCAAAGCAGGCUUAGGCCCUGAAUACAUUAGCAUGGAAUAAUAAGAUACGACCUUGGUGGUCUAUUUUGUUGGUUUGCACGCCAAGGUAAUGAUUAAUAGGGAUAGUUGGGGGUAUUCGUAUUCAAUUGUCAGAGGUGAAAUUCUUGGAUUUAUGGAAGACGAACUACUGCGAAAGCAUUUACCAAGGAUGUUUUCAUUAAUCAAGAACGAAAGUUAGGGGAUCGAAGAUGAUUAGAUACCAUCGUAGUCUUAACCAUAAACUAUGCCGACUAGGGAUCGGUGGGUGCAUUUUUAGGCCUCAUCGGCACCUUAUGAGAAAUCAAAGUCUUUGGGUUCCGGGGGGAGUAUGGUCGCAAGGCUGAAACUUAAAGA